ACGGGGGGGGGCAAGCGUUGUUCGGAAUUACUGGGCGUAAAGGGCUCGUAGGUGGCCAACUAAGUCAGACGUGAAAUCCCCCGGCUUAACCUGGGAACUGCGUCUGAUACUGCUCGGCUAGAGGAUGGGAGAGGAGCGCGGAAUUCCCGGUGUAGCGGUGAAAUGCGUAGAGAUCGGGAGGAAGGCCGGUGGCGAAGGCGGCGCUCUGGAACAUUUCUGACGCUGAGGCUCGAAAGCGUGGGGAGCAAACAGGA
This 254-nucleotide ribosomal RNA is filed under the name uncultured prokaryote. Its description in RNAcentral is "partial 16S ribosomal RNA". It matches the Rfam family "Bacterial small subunit ribosomal RNA", at positions 525 to 777 of the family's 1533-position model. The record is from RNAcentral.